GUUUUAAUAGUUUAAAAAAAACACUGGUCUUGUAAACCAAAAUUAAUGAAUAUUUUAAAACA
This 62-nucleotide transfer RNA is filed under the name Cromna sinensis. Its description in RNAcentral is "tRNA-Thr". It matches the Rfam family "tRNA". Rfam says of the family: Transfer RNA (tRNA) molecules are approximately 80 nucleotides in length. Their secondary structure includes four short double-helical elements and three loops (D, anti-codon, and T loops). Lineage: Eukaryota; Metazoa; Arthropoda; Insecta; Hemiptera; Flatidae. The record is from RNAcentral.